ACCUGACCCCAUGCCGAACUCAGAAGUGAAACGCCGUAACGCCGAUGGUAGUGUGGGGAUUCCCCAUGUGAGAGUAGGUCACCGCCAGGU
Molecule: ribosomal RNA, 90 nt
Filed under: Alitibacter langaaensis DSM 22999
Lineage: Bacteria; Pseudomonadati; Pseudomonadota; Gammaproteobacteria; Pasteurellales; Pasteurellaceae
Source: RNAcentral